AAUGCGGAAGAGAUAAGUGCUGAAAGCAUCUAAGCACGAAACUUGCCCCGAGAUGAGUUCUCCCUGACCCUUUAAGGGUCCUGAAGGAACGUUGAAGACGACGACGUUGAUAGGCCGGGUGUGUAAGCGCAGCGAUGCGUUGAGCUAACCGGUACUAAUGAACCGUGAGGCUUAACCUUACAACGCCGAAGGUGUUU
This 197-nucleotide ribosomal RNA is filed under the name Escherichia coli. RNAcentral's name for it is "partial 23S ribosomal RNA". It matches the Rfam family "Bacterial large subunit ribosomal RNA", at positions 2752 to 2925 of the family's 2925-position model. The record is from RNAcentral. Lineage: Bacteria; Pseudomonadati; Pseudomonadota; Gammaproteobacteria; Enterobacterales; Enterobacteriaceae.